Molecule: ribosomal RNA, 253 nt
Filed under: uncultured bacterium
Lineage: Bacteria
Description: partial 16S ribosomal RNA
Rfam family: Bacterial small subunit ribosomal RNA
Source: RNAcentral
UACGUAGGGUGCAAGCGUUGUCCGGAAUUAUUGGGCGUAAAGAGCUCGUAGGCGGUCUGUCGCGUCGGAUGUGAAAAUCCAGGGCUCAACCCUGGACCUGCAUUCGAUACGGGCAGACUAGAGUUCGGCAGGGGAGACUGGAAUUCCUGGUGUAGCGGUGAAAUGCGCAGAUAUCAGGAGGAACACCGGUGGCGAAGGCGGGUCUCUGGGCCGAUACUGACGCUGAGGAGCGAAAGCGUGGGGAGCGGACAGG